Molecule: unclassified non-coding RNA, 172 nt
Filed under: uncultured Sordariomycetes
Lineage: Eukaryota; Fungi; Ascomycota; Sordariomycetes
Description: sequence contains ITS2
Source: RNAcentral
CAACCCUCGAACCCCUCCGGGGGGUCGGCGUUGGGGAUCGGCCGUCCCUCAGCGGGUGGCCGUCCCCGAAAUACAGUGGCGGUCCCGCCGCAGCCUCCCCUGCGCAGUAGCUUGCACACUCGCACCGGGAGCGCGGCGCGUCCACAGCCGUUAAACACCCAACUUUCUGAAA